This 702-nucleotide ribosomal RNA is filed under the name Triticum aestivum (bread wheat). Its description in RNAcentral is "partial small subunit ribosomal RNA". The record is from RNAcentral. Lineage: Eukaryota; Viridiplantae; Streptophyta; Magnoliopsida; Poales; Poaceae.
AUGGCCUCACCCUCGGACGCCAACUCUGCCACCAGUGGAGGCGCAUCGGCGGCCGCAACCCCCAUCCUGGAAGAUUUCUUCGAUCAGUUAGAUCUGAACGAUGAGGAGUUCAAUGAUGUUGAGAUUGAUGAGGAGGAUCCAGAAAUCAGGGAGAGCGUUAGGUGGCUAGCCCUAGCUAGGGUUCACACCGACAAGAAUUUCUCCCAGGCAGCCUUCUACAAGGAUAUGAGGGCGGCCUGGAAUCCGGCGCAAAGGGUCAGAUUUCGCCCGGUCGGACCCAACAGAUUUGUUGUCCAAGCUUCCUGCCUGGGCGACUGGGAGCGGAUGAUGAUGCAGGGCCCUUGGCUCUUCCGCAACAUGGCGGUCUUGUUGUGUUCGUAUGAUGGUUUCACCAAGGCAGAUGAUGUGAUUUUCGAUCAUAUGCCCAUCUGGCUACAAGUCCACAAACUACCUGAUCCCUACUGCAAACAAGGUAUUGUUGAGCGAAUCCUUAAAGGGGCUGGAGAAAUCCUAGAGAUGCGUUUGAACGGCAACACCCGUGGAGACUAUAUUAGGGUUAGGGUAAACCAUGAUAUCAAGCAGCCUCUGACAAAGUUUGUUAGCGUUGUCCGUGCGCAGGAGAGACAGGUUUAUUUGGUGCGGUAUGAGAAGUUGGCCCGUUUUUGCAGUUUCUGUGGUCGGAUUGGACAUGAGCACAAGGAG